AAAUUUGUAGUUUAAUUUGAUAGUCCACGAUAAGAUUUACUUGAAUUAAAAAAUUUAUAUAUUGUUGUAUAUUUUAAAAUAAAAUUUAUUAUUAUUAAUAUUUAAUAAAAUAAUAAUUCAAAUCAAAAUGUGGUGUAUUUUUGAAUUUAUGAAUUAUAAUAAAUUUAAUUUUUGGAUAAUUACAAUUUUAAAAAUUAAUUUGAAAGAGGAUUUAAUAGUAAAUUUAAUAAAAUUGAUUAAAUUGAAAUUAGUUUUGAAAAGUGUACAAAUUGCCCGUCAGUUUCAUUUAUGGAAUAAGUCAGGAUUUAAUAGUAAAUUUAAUAAAAUUGAUUAAAUUGAAAUUAGUUUUGAAAAGUGUACAAAUUGCCCGUCAGUUUCAUUUAUGGAAUAAGUCGUAA
This 398-nucleotide unclassified non-coding RNA is filed under the name Bombus terrestris (buff-tailed bumblebee). RNAcentral describes it as "misc RNA ENSBTSG00005023466.1". Lineage: Eukaryota; Metazoa; Arthropoda; Insecta; Hymenoptera; Apidae. The record is from RNAcentral.